This 742-nucleotide ribosomal RNA is filed under the name Bacillus thuringiensis. RNAcentral's name for it is "bacterial SSU rRNA". It matches the Rfam family "Bacterial small subunit ribosomal RNA", at positions 37 to 759 of the family's 1533-position model. Lineage: Bacteria; Bacillati; Bacillota; Bacilli; Caryophanales; Bacillaceae. The record is from RNAcentral.
GAGGGGCAAGCCUAAUAAUGCAAGUCGAGCGAAUGGAUUAAGAGCUUGCUCUUAUGAAGUUAGCGGCGGACGGGUGAGUAACACGUGGGUAACCUGCCCAUAAGACUGGGAUAACUCCGGGAAACCGGGGCUAAUACCGGAUAACAUUUUGAACUGCAUGGUUCGAAAUUGAAAGGCGGCUUCGGCUGUCACUUAUGGAUGGACCCGCGUCGCAUUAGCUAGUUGGUGAGGUAACGGCUCACCAAGGCAACGAUGCGUAGCCGACCUGAGAGGGUGAUCGGCCACACUGGGACUGAGACACGGCCCAGACUCCUACGGGAGGCAGCAGUAGGGAAUCUUCCGCAAUGGACGAAAGUCUGACGGAGCAACGCCGCGUGAGUGAUGAAGGCUUUCGGGUCGUAAAACUCUGUUGUUAGGGAAGAACAAGUGCUAGUUGAAUAAGCUGGCACCUUGACGGUACCUAACCAGAAAGCCACGGCUAACUACGUGCCAGCAGCCGCGGUAAUACGUAGGUGGCAAGCGUUAUCCGGAAUUAUUGGGCGUAAAGCGCGCGCAGGUGGUUUCUUAAGUCUGAUGUGAAAGCCCACGGCUCAACCGUGGAGGGUCAUUGGAAACUGGGAGACUUGAGUGCAGAAGAGGAAAGUGGAAUUCCAUGUGUAGCGGUGAAAUGCGUAGAGAUAUGGAGGAACACCAGUGGCGAAGGCUACUUUCUGCUCUGUAACUGACACUGUAGCGUCGAAAG